Molecule: long non-coding RNA, 1624 nt
Organism: Jaculus jaculus (lesser Egyptian jerboa)
Lineage: Eukaryota; Metazoa; Chordata; Mammalia; Rodentia; Dipodidae
Exons: 3
Source: RefSeq, a predicted model, not a curated record
ACCCAAAGAGCACUCUUUUUCAGCCAGAGAUCCCAGAACCAGCCGUUGUCCCCUAGCAAAAGAGGCCCAGUGCUAAACCCUGGGCAAGUGUCUGCAGACAUCCCCACCUCUCCUCCCAUUCUUAGUCUCCUUUCCCAAGAGAAACCAUUUCCUUCUGCCACUAACAUUAGGCUGCAUCCAAAAGUUUCUCACAAGCUUUAACAAAGAAAAGCGAAAAAUUGACACCACUAUACAGAAGAAGUCCAAAAGCUGCCGCAGCACCAGGGCAGAGAAGCAGCGUCAGACGCAGGAACCCAAUAAAGCUGCAUGUUUUCAGAAACCUAGACCAUUGACUGCUUUGCUGCAUAUAAACUGAUAAUUAAGUUGUGCGGGCUGCAUCAUUCCUCCCAGGCCUUGGUGCAAUCAGACAAGCCAACCUCCUCCAGAUCCUAUCGCCAAGACCACGGGGUCACUUGUGCUAGGCCCAGGACUGAGGCCUGCAGGACACAGAGCGAUGCUUGCAAGCCAUGCUGGGGAGAAAGUAUACUUCUCACUGGCCUCUGUCAGAGAAGUUACCUACCCUAUCUCUUUCUUAUAAUUUUCAUAAAUUCUUUGACUGAUUUCAGAAAAAAGUGUGUUUUUGUUUUUUGAUUCUUCUUUGCAGUUUGUACAUUGAGGUCCUCUGAAGGAAGCCUAGGACAGGCACAGGGUUGGGACUCUGCUGUGGGCCAGGCCCAGACUCAGGAGUGGCAGAGGAAAACUGUCACAUGUAAUUGUGGAGCUGGGAGCCCCAAGUCAGACCAGCUCUCACUCUCUCCCAAAAGACAGCUGCUCCCUCCCCCACUACUAAGAAACAGUAGGGUUUGGUAGGUGAUGAUCCACUAUUUAGGAGGUUUGAAAUUCACAUUUGUCAUUUCAGAGUUAAGUCCUAAGUGACAGUCCUUUUAAUCAUGUAGAAAAUAAGAAACUUGCUUAAAAUUUUUCAUGGAAAUACCACUGAAUUAAGAGAAUUUUUAAAAAGUCAUCUCCACAUAAAUGUGUACAAAACGUUGAUAGUAGCAGUAGGAUUGGUGCUACAGCUUGGUGAUGGAGGAUUUUCAGAACACAGUGUGCAUGGUUCUGGCUUCAAUCGCUAGCACCGGAGGAAAAAAGAAAAGAUGUUCACAGCAGCAUUUUUCAGAAUAGCCAAAAAGGAAAAAGAAUUCAAAUGCCUGCCAGCAAAUGAAUAAGCAUAAUAUGCCAUCACCAUGUAGUGAGAUAUUCUUCAGAAAUAAAAGUAAAUUAAAUAUUAAUCUCUAUGACAUCAUGGAUGACUCUUAAAAGAUCAUGCUAAGUAAAAGAUGUCAGUCACAAAGGCUGGCUUCCUGUCUGAGUCCAUUUCUGUGCAAUCUCUAGAGUAUAUAGGCAUCUCUAUAGAGACAGAGAGCAGACCACUGGUUGCCUAGGGGAUGGGGAGAGGGAAUGGACUUGGGUGAUAUCUGAGUGGUGGAGUGCUUUUGGGGGUGAUGAAAAUGUUCUAAAAUAUGAUAAUUGUACAACUUGCUGACUAUAUUAAAAGCCAUAAAAGCCACAUUUUUUAGCCUUUAAAUAGGCAAAUUGUAUAGUGUGCCAAUUAUAUCUCAAUAAAGCCAUUAAAAAAUUUAAA